RNAcentral lists this unclassified non-coding RNA (253 nucleotides) under uncultured bacterium. RNAcentral describes it as "contains 16S-23S intergenic spacer region". It matches the Rfam family "Bacterial small subunit ribosomal RNA", at positions 524 to 776 of the family's 1533-position model. The record is from RNAcentral.
UACGGAGGGUGCAAGCGUUGUUCGGAAUUACUGGGCGUAAAGCGCGUCUAGGCGGAUGUGCAAGUCAGAUGUGAAAGACCCUGGCUCAACCAGGGAAUUGCAUUUGAAACUGCAUGUAUUGAGUCAUGGAGAGGUGAGCGGAAUACCGAGUGUAGCAGUGAAAUGCGUAGAUAUUCGGUGGAACAUCGGAGGCGAAGGCGGCUCACUGGCCAUGUACUGACGCUGAAGCGCGAAAGCGUGGGUAGCAAACAGG